This 769-nucleotide unclassified non-coding RNA is filed under the name Hevea brasiliensis (rubber tree). The record is from RNAcentral. Lineage: Eukaryota; Viridiplantae; Streptophyta; Magnoliopsida; Malpighiales; Euphorbiaceae.
GAUUUCUCACAAACUGGAGCUCAGAUGAGGCCAAAAAGCAUCUCCAGUUAGCAUAAAAAACGUAGAGAUUCAACAGUUGAAUAAGAGGCCAAAACAUCUCACGGGGCCAAUAUGGCAGAGCCCUUAGGCAUUCUAUGUCCAUUUAGAAACUAGGACUUUCAGCAAGUAUAGGUGUUCCUAGGGUACCAUACCCAUAAAAUCAAACCCCUAGAGCAGAGUCACCGCAAACACAACAUAGACAGCAUAGCUAUCACCACAGUUGCUCCAAAUCGAGAGACCCCCUGCAUGCAGUCACAACACCACAGAGAACGUCUAUCUCCGGGCUCCCUCUCUAGUGGAAAGCACAACUAGCAACCCAAUCAACAAAAGAUCCUACCAUUUACAAUCUUAUCCAGAGGUGGAGGGAAGGAAACCCACUUUCGAGCAAGGACGAUUGCCAUCCCCUACCUGGAUAGGGUAGGGGACAGCCACACAGAGGCAGUGAAACGAGUAAGUCGCCUAUGGAAGGGAAGAAUAGAACAAGAGAAAAAAGAAAGUUUGCGGCUCUGCCAAAAUAGCUAUUGUAAUUGAGAAUUAUAAAUGGUAGAUAGGCUCUAUAUGCACUCCAAUUGCAUCAAGAUAGUAACCACACCUUCCAUGGAACCCAGUGACCUUGUCACCAUGUCCCCAGCCGAUGCCAGUGAAAAGUGAUUUCCCUUGUUUAAGCCAAAUGGUCCAUAGGUUUUUCUGUUGCUUUGAAAUGUAAGAGACUGCACAAUCUCUAAACCAU